GACGAACGCUGGCGGCGUGCUUAACACAUGCAAGUCGAACGGAAAGGCCCUGCUUUUGUGGGGUGUUCGAGUGGCGAACGGGUGAGUAACACGUGAGUAACCUGCCCUUGACUUUGGGAUAACUUCAGGAAACUGGGGCUAAUACCGGAUAGGAGCUCCUGCUGCAUGGUGGGGGUUGGAAAGUUUCGGCGGUUGGGGAUGGACUCGCGGCUUAUCAGCUUGUUGGUGGGGUAGUGGCUUACCAGGGCUUUGACGGGUAGCCGGCCUGAGAGGGUGACCGGCCACAUUGGGACUGAGAUACGGCCCAGACUCCUACGGGAGGCAGCAGUGGGGAAUAUUGCACAAUGGGCGGAAGCCUGAUGCAGCAACGCCGCGUGCGGGAUGACGGCCUUCGGGUUGUAAACCGCUUUCGCCUGUGACGAAGCGUGAGUGACGGUAAUGGGUAAAGAAGCACCGGCUAACUACGUGCCAGCAGCCGCGGUGAUACGUAGGGUGCGAGCGUUGUCCGGAUUUAUUGGGCGUAAAGGGCUCGUAGGUGGUUGAUCGCGUCGGAAGUGUAAUCUUGGGGCUUAACCCUGAGCGUGCUUUCGAUACGGGUUGACUUGAGGAAGGUAGGGGAGAAUGGAAUUCCUGGUGGAGCGGUGGAAUGCGCAGAUAUCAGGAGGAACACCAGUGGCGAAGGCGGUUCUCUGGGCCUUUCCUGACGCUGAGGAGCGAAAGCGUGGGGAGCGAACAGGCUUAGAUACCCUGGUAGUCCACGCUGUAAACGGUGGGUACUAGGUGUGGGGUCCAUUCCACGGGUUCCGUGCCGUAGCUAACGCUUUAAGUACCCCGCCUGGGGAGUACGGCCGCAAGGCUAAAACUCAAAGGAAUUGACGGGGCCCCGCACAAGCGGCGGAGCAUGCGGAUUAAUUCGAUGCAACGCGUUGAACCUUACCUGGGUUUGACAUGGAUCGGGAGUGCUCAGAGAUGGGUGUGCCUCUUUUGGGGUCGGUUCACAGGUGGUGCAUGGCUGUCGUCAGCUCGUGUCGUGAGAUGUUGGGUUAAGUCCCGCAACGAGCGCAACCCUUGUUCACUGUUGCCAGCACGUUAUGGUGGGGACUCAGUGGAGACCGCCGGGGUCAACUCGGAGGAAGGUGGGGAUGACGUCAAGUCACCAUGCCCCUUAUGUCCAGGGCUUCACGCAUGCUACAAUGGCUGGUACAGAGAGUGGCGAGCCUGUGAGGGUGAGCGAAUCCCGGAAAGCCGGUCUCAGUUCGGAUUGGGGUCUGCAACUCGACCUCAUGAAGUCGGAGUCGCUAGUAAUCGCAGAUCAGCAACGCUGCGGUGAAUACGUUCCCGGGGCU
This 1346-nucleotide ribosomal RNA is filed under the name uncultured bacterium. Its description in RNAcentral is "partial 16S ribosomal RNA". It matches the Rfam family "Bacterial small subunit ribosomal RNA", at positions 28 to 1381 of the family's 1533-position model. The record is from RNAcentral.